RNAcentral lists this long non-coding RNA (334 nucleotides) under Malus domestica (apple). RNAcentral describes it as "long non-coding RNA (MDOM_LNC002837)". Lineage: Eukaryota; Viridiplantae; Streptophyta; Magnoliopsida; Rosales; Rosaceae. The record is from RNAcentral.
UUUCAAGGAAAACAAGGGAAAUUAGAUAAAGAGGAAGGGUGGCGAUCUGAUAAAGAAGAACAAGACUCACUUGAAGAUUUUUGCUUCUUUAUGCCUGCCUCAGAAACUGGAGCAAAUGAGGCUAAAGACUUGUGAGUUUGGACGGUUCUUGUUCUCUUACUCUUUCUAGUAGGAAUUGGUCGUUUAAUCUUGGGUGGGGAUGCAGGAUCAGAAUCUAAGGUCUCAAUCACAACUACUUUCCUUCGCUUAGACACUUGGGUGAUGACUUCAGACGCUUCUUCGUCAGCCCUUGAAUCUUCUGAAACAUCCCCACCUUCUCCAGCUUCUCGUCUUU